Long non-coding RNA from Heterocephalus glaber (naked mole-rat), 803 nucleotides. NCBI's taxonomy places the organism in Eukaryota, Metazoa, Chordata, Mammalia, Rodentia, Bathyergidae. The record is from Ensembl.
CUACUGAAGAGGAAAUUUCAAAACUGUCUUCAAAGGCAAGAGAAGGGCGUCGCUGUUGAGGCGCAGGUCUCACAGGGAGACGCCAUUCCAACGGAACCAUUCUAAGCCCUCAGGAGAGAGGAGAGGGCACCAGGGAGUCAAUUCAGCUCAUUGCCCAGAUUCUGGUCUGCUGGGAUUGUGACGGCCUCUGAGAGAACGCUGAGAUGGCACCCAGAGGAGUCUGGAGCUCCAAGUUCCCCUAACCCCAGUGUUCUGCCACCACCCUUCCUCUUCCACUGCAGCCUGCAGCACAGACUGGCUACCUUGUUGGUCUGCUCUGGAGGAAAGGUAAAGAGGGAUAGGGAUAGGACAGAUUUGCUGGUGUCACUAUUGUUGUGGUGUUGGGUAGAGUGUGUGAGUGUAUGUGUUGUGAGGCUGUGUAGUAUUGUGUAUGUUGGAGUGUUCUGUGAUGUUGUGAAUCUGUGUAGUGUUGGGUGUGUGCAUAUGCCAUAGUGCUGUGUAGUCUUAUGUGUGUGUGGGGUGCUGUUGGGUUGUGUUGGAGGUAUUGUGUGUGACAGAAGGAGAGCAAGCCUCUCUUGUGCUUGGCUGGCCACUCCUUGGCUGGGGACUUCAUUCCUCCUGCCAAAGCCCUAACCCAUGCUGCUCCCCACCUGUGACAGCCAUCCUAGGCAGAAGGAGAGGGAGCAGCUGGCCCUCUGCUCUUCCAAUUUGACCUUGAUGUGGGGCUGGGACAGGCUACCAGGCUCAGUGCCAGGAAGCAAGACAAGGGGCUUGAAGUGAGGGCUUCUGACAAGAGCAUCUUG